GAUGAAGAACGUAGUGAAAUGCGAUAAGUAAUGUGAAUUGCAGAAUUCAGUGAAUCAUCGAAUCUUUGAACGCACAUUGCGCCCGUCAGUAUUCUGGCGGGCAUGCCUGUUCGAGCGUCAUUUCAACCAUCAAGCCCCCGGCUUGCGUUGGAGCCCUGCGGCUGCCGCAGGCUCCCAAAUCCAGUGGCGGGCUCGUCGUCGUACCGAGUGCAGUAAACAUCCUCGCUCAGGGAACGUGACGGGUUCUUGCCGUGAAACCCCCCACAUAUCAAGGUUGACCUCGGAUCAGGUAGGAAUACCCGCUGAACUUAAGCAUAUCAAUAAGCGGAGGA
RNAcentral lists this unclassified non-coding RNA (332 nucleotides) under soil metagenome. RNAcentral's name for it is "partial contains 5.8S ribosomal RNA, internal transcribed spacer 2, and large subunit ribosomal RNA". The stretch from base 1 to 120 matches the Rfam family "5.8S ribosomal RNA", at positions 35 to 154 of the family's 154-position model. The record is from RNAcentral.